Erythranthe guttata (spotted monkey flower) is the source of this 230-nucleotide non-coding RNA. NCBI's taxonomy places the organism in Eukaryota, Viridiplantae, Streptophyta, Magnoliopsida, Lamiales, Phrymaceae. The record is from RefSeq and is a predicted model, not a curated record.
GCGACAUCACUUUUUUUGCAGGAAAAGGAUAAACCUUUCACUGGAUUCGCUAUAGCAUUCAAGUUGUGUAAGAAUUUGGAGAUCGAUCAUCCAAAAAUGAAUAAAAUGAAUAUACCAAGCAGACACAAAACAAAAGGGGGAAAAAAGUAAUUAUACCUCCUGCAAUUAUACAACUUGAUCGGCAUCUUUUGUAGAUGAAUAUAAGAGAGAGAGAGAGAGAGAGAGAGAGA